This 74-nucleotide non-coding RNA is filed under the name Mycoplasmatota bacterium. Its description in RNAcentral is "Tenericutes bacterium c-di-GMP sequence". It matches the Rfam family "c-di-GMP-I riboswitch aptamer". Rfam says of the family: GEMM was predicted in a large-scale screen for bacterial structured RNA regulatory elements. Lineage: Bacteria; Bacillati; Mycoplasmatota. The record is from RNAcentral.
AAUGUUCAAAGGCAAAACCAGGGAAACCUGGCGACGCAAAGCUAUAGGGCCUUAAAUGGUAGCCAGUUGUCAUU